CCAAAGCAGUGGCGACGGUCUGUGGAAGCGUCGGGGAGAUCUGAGGUCACCGUCCAACAUGUCUGACUGCUGAAGACCUGGACACCCGUCUGUCCUGAGACAUCUACAUCUGACAGAUUGACUGUUUCUCAUUAAGAUCCAAUAUUUAACUGUGUGUAAUAUUUAAAAACUGUGAAUUAAAUCACAGUUACGGUAGGAUUCGUAUAAUAUUUUGACUCCAGAUAUUUAAUAUCCAAGCCAAGCCAAGUUGUGAAAAGAAAA
Long non-coding RNA from Etheostoma spectabile (orangethroat darter), 261 nucleotides. RefSeq lists it as uncharacterized. The record is from RefSeq and is a predicted model, not a curated record. NCBI's taxonomy places the organism in Eukaryota, Metazoa, Chordata, Actinopteri, Perciformes, Percidae. The transcript has 3 exons.